This 336-nucleotide unclassified non-coding RNA is filed under the name soil metagenome. Its description in RNAcentral is "partial contains 5.8S ribosomal RNA, internal transcribed spacer 2, and large subunit ribosomal RNA". The stretch from base 1 to 120 matches the Rfam family "5.8S ribosomal RNA", at positions 35 to 154 of the family's 154-position model. The record is from RNAcentral.
GAUGAAGAACGCAGCGAAACGCGAUAUGUAAUGUGAAUUGCAGAAUUCAGUGAAUCAUCGAAUCUUUGAACGCACAUUGCGCCCGCCAGUAUUCUGGCGGGCAUGCCUGUUCGAGCGUCAUUUCAACCAUCAAGCCCCCGGCUUGUGUUGGGGACCUGCGGCUGCCGCAGGCCCUGAAAAGCAGUGGCGGGCUCGCUGUCACACCGAGCGUAGUAGCAUACAUCUCGCUCUGGGCGUGCUGCGGGUUCCGGCCGUUAAACCACCUUCAUAACCCAAGGUUGACCUCGGAUCAGGUAGGAAGACCCGUUGAACUUAAGCAUAUCAAUAAGCGGAGGA